This 68-nucleotide transfer RNA is filed under the name Marmota monax (woodchuck). RNAcentral describes it as "tRNA.Ala". Lineage: Eukaryota; Metazoa; Chordata; Mammalia; Rodentia; Sciuridae. The record is from RNAcentral.
GGUUUGUGGCUUAGUGGCAGAGCAUUUGCCUAGCACGCGUGAGGCACUGGGCUCAAGCCUCAGCACCA